This is a long non-coding RNA of Manihot esculenta (cassava), 1076 nucleotides long. RefSeq lists it as uncharacterized. The record is from RefSeq and is a predicted model, not a curated record. The transcript has 2 exons. NCBI's taxonomy places the organism in Eukaryota, Viridiplantae, Streptophyta, Magnoliopsida, Malpighiales, Euphorbiaceae.
UAUCUGUUGUUGGAAACGGCGUCGCAUCUGUUCAUAAUUGCAUCAGCUUUCUUUGCGCGAGGCUCAAAGUUCACGGCAGCGAAACCUACUUAACGGACAACCGGCGGCGACACCAUUACGCCAUGCGAAAAGCUUCAUGGCAAGAGCUAGAUGAAGUUUCUGAUAUUCUCGGUGAUUCCAUCCACGACAGCGGUGAAAUCCCUUACCAAUACGCGCUAUCGGUGUUUCGCUCCAAUGCCAUAUGGAGGAGAAGGAGAAAGUUUUUACGGGAAUCUUCCAUGUUUCAGGCGGCCGCGAAGGGCCGUAAAGAGAGGUAAUUUUGUUGUAAGCAGAUUGAUUUCGUUUUGAUUUUUGAUGUUAAAAUUUUAUUAUAUCCAUUUGGGCUUUUCAUUGAAUGAAAACCUAGAUUAUUAGGCCAAUAGUGCUACUAUUGACUUUGAAUCUUUAAUAGAUUGAAAACCUGUUAAUUCAGUUAAUUUAUUGUUAGUAGGUGAAUAUUCUGAUUAUUUAAAAUCAAUGAAAAAGAAUGUUCUGUGAUAUGACCAAUUCUGCUAAUCUACAAACUCUUUUUCUUUUCCUUUUUUCUUGAAGAAUCUAUUCAAGUUGAGAUUUGUUUAUUGCAGUCUAUUUUUCUAAGUCUUUGGCUGAGCAUAGUAUUGAAUUCUCCAUGUCUGUUCAUCCACCUUGUGUCAGCAAACUUGUUGCGCCUCUCCAGUAUAUUAUAAUGGUCAUUUGAGAAUCGUUAACUGUUUAUGUAAGUACAACCUCACAAAAUCACAAUUAGUUGAAUUUUGUAGAUAUGCUAUUUUGGGGGAUACGUAUCUAAAUCACCGUGCAAUUCGAGUUACUGAUUCACAGAGGCAACUUAUAGUUAAAAAAGAACUAAGAGAUCUUGGAGGUGUAGAUAGGCCUUUGUUCAUAUGGCAAACUAAUGCUCUUAAAUCUUUCUUCAAAGGAAGCUUAUAAGCAAAGAAAUUGAACUUUCUUCAAACAAUAGAAGCAAUAUUAAUGUAAUGGAUACAGCUCACCUGCAGCUGAGCUGAAAAAAAAAAAAACCAUUUGGCUUAUGUGGACAA